GAUGAACGCUGGCGGCGUGCCUAACACAUGCAAGUCGAGCGUGAUUAAGUGGAGUGAGGACUUCGGUCUGAGUGAAACUUAUGAAAGCGGCGGACGGGUGAGUAACGCGUGGGCAACCUGCCCCCAUACAAAGGGAUAGCCAUUGGAAACGGUGAUUAAUACCUUAUAAGUCGGUAGUCUCGCAUGAGAUAGCCGACAAAGAUUUAUCGGUAUGGGAUGGGCCCGCGUCUGAUUAGCUAGUUGGUGAGGUAACGGCUCACCAAGGCGACGAUCAGUAGCCGACCUGAGAGGGUGAUCGGCCACACUGGAACUGAGACACGGUCCAGACUCCUACGGGAGGCAGCAGUGGGGAAUAUUGCGCAAUGGGGGAAACCCUGACGCAGCAACGCCGCGUGAGUGAGGAAGGUCUUUCGGGUCGUAAAGCUCUGUCAGGCGGAAGAAAUGCAUGGAGGUGAACAGCCGCCAUGCUUGACGGUACCGCCAGA
Molecule: ribosomal RNA, 485 nt
Filed under: uncultured bacterium
Lineage: Bacteria
Description: bacterial SSU rRNA
Rfam family: Bacterial small subunit ribosomal RNA
Source: RNAcentral